AGCAUAGCUCUUUUGCUCAGCUUGUGUCAAUAUGCACAAGUGUGUGCUGAACUCAUGGUUAAACCAUGGGCUCGUGAGAGUUCGUUUGUAGAAGAGAGAGAAUGAAGUGAGGUGAAGGUAAUGGACCCACCCUUAGACACGGGUUCAUGUGUUUAAGCACAUGAGAGAGAGACAAGAAGAAAAUAGAAUGAGAAAGUGAUGGACCCACCUUAGACACGGAUCAGUGCAAUGGAUAACGCGCGAGAGAGAUGAGGAGAAUAGGUGACAGACCCGCCCUAGGCACGGGUCAGUGUGUUUAUGCGAAGUGAGGGAGAGAGAAGGAUAUGAGGGUAGGGAUGUAUAGAUGAGUCCGCCUUAGGCGCAGACCUGACUGGUCUUUGACGUGAGGGGGUAAAGAAGAGGGAUAAGAGAUGGAAAAAGAGAUGGGUCAUCCCUAGGCACGGACCCGAGGAUUUUUUUUGUCGUGUGAGAGAGAAGAAGAGUGAUAAGAGAGGGAAGGAGAGACAAGUCCGCCCUAGGUGCGGACCCGAAUUCUUUCAUGCGAGAGAAAAGGGGGCAGUCCGCCCAAGCUUGGUUUAAAAGCAUUUAAAGCAUCUUCUGUGGCAUCUUCACGCACCCCUUGUAUCUCAAGUGCAAUUUGGCAUUUUCAGCAUGGACACCGCAUAGUCACAUCCCCCAUAGAAUGACCACUCGGAGUUCUAGUAGGGCUUUAACCGUUUGGAAUAAGAAGAAUCAGACCCCAGAGAUUGCAAUUAUCAUUCCUGAUGACUCUGAAGAGGUGAUUCCUCUAGCAAUUCAUAGAGGUGUAGAGAGAAUCAUUGCCCCUACAAUGCAAGGGGAACCAAGAGAAGGUCCAAAUCCUGUCAUUGCUUCUAACUCUAGGCAAGUUAUCCAUCCCUUUGACUGGCAUACCCAUAGAGGACUUGUUAUGGCAUAUGUAAGAUUGCCUUUUCCUGAUCAAGUCAAGAGACUUAAUCGUCAUAAUUCUGAUAUCUGCACGAUGGAGAUAGGUCGUGAUCUUCUCAGAGCUACCUAUCAACUUUUUAGUCAUGCCCUUUUCUUUGAGUUGGCCAUGUUCCCAUUCUUUGUGAAGAAGUUAAUGAAGAACCUUACAGACUUCAAUGUUCCGUGCACUGGUUUAUUUGGAAAAAAGAUGGAAACAAUAGUUCACUGGGCCAGAGAGGUCUUGGAAAUAGAAGACCUGGUCUCUACUAAGAAGAACCCAUCUAUUGCACUCUUACUCAAAACUCCUUUCCUGACCCUUAUUUAUGUUGGAUCUUUCCGAGGCGAUUCUAAGAGAUCUUAGAACCGAUCUGCUCUUGCGAUAGUUUGUUCAUUCGGAUUUUCAGCCCUGUCCUUUAAAAAGGUCUUCGAUCUCCUAAGAUAUUGCAUGUCUUGAAAAUGAGAGUGAUAUGGCCACUCUCGAACAUCAUAUCCAAGAGACAGAAGGCUUGCUGGUCUUGGCUCGUAGGAAAUGGAGGAUCCACAGUCAUCUCAGCUUGAUCAUGGGGAGUAUCCUCCUUGGUUAGAAAAAUCAGCCAUAGCAGGCGAGCAAUUUUAAAACACAAGAUAAAGAAGGUGCAGCAAGACUACUUCAGACUUAGUCUCUUGAAGGAAUGAUUCCUCAACCUUCUCUUCUUCAAGGCAGACAACCAUAGCUUCAUCCAUAUUGUAGACAUAAUUUUCUUUCUUUUUUAACUUUUGUAAGGCGCAAUGUUACAGCCAUGCAAUCCUAUUUGUUUAUUUCCUUUUACGCUUGUAUAUAGAGGCCACAAAACUGCAACUCGUGGUCUCCUUUUUGCUAACAACUUAUGUCUUUCA
This is a long non-coding RNA of Amborella trichopoda, 1821 nucleotides long. RefSeq lists it as uncharacterized. NCBI's taxonomy places the organism in Eukaryota, Viridiplantae, Streptophyta, Magnoliopsida, Amborellales, Amborellaceae. The record is from RefSeq and is a predicted model, not a curated record.